Molecule: ribosomal RNA, 447 nt
Filed under: uncultured bacterium
Lineage: Bacteria
Description: bacterial SSU rRNA
Rfam family: Bacterial small subunit ribosomal RNA
Source: RNAcentral
UGGGGAAUAUUGGACAAUGGGCGAAAGCCUGAUCCAGCCAUGCCGCGUGAGUGACGAAGGCCUUAGGGUUGUAAAACUCUUUCGUCGGGGACGAUAAUGACGGUACCCGAAGAAGAAGCUCCGGCUAACUUCGUGCCAGCAGCCGCGGUAAUACGAAGGGAGCUAGCGUUGUUCGGAAUCACUGGGCGUAAAGCGCACGUAGGCGGAUAGUUAAGUCAGGGGUGAAAUCCUGGGGCUCAACCCCAGAACUGCCUUUGAUACUGGCUGUCUCGAGGUCGAGAGAGGUUGGUGGAAUUCCUAGUGUAGAGGUGAAAUUCGUAGAUAUUAGGAAGAACACCAGUGGCGAAGGCGGCCAACUGGCUCGAUACUGACGCUGAGGUGCGAAAGCGUGGGGAGCAAACGGGAUUAGAUACCCUGGUAGUCCCUGAGCGGGCUGGCAAGGCGCAU